This is a long non-coding RNA of Amphiprion ocellaris (clown anemonefish), 1227 nucleotides long. The record is from Ensembl. NCBI's taxonomy places the organism in Eukaryota, Metazoa, Chordata, Actinopteri, Pomacentridae.
CAGCAAUGUGCCGCAAGGCAUCCAGCCUGCCGGAAAUUCAGAAGAAGAAGAAGAAGAAGCAGGAAGAGCUCAGCGCUGCCUCCCAGAGAAGCUAAUGUGCAGUCGGGGUGUAAGUACCUGCUUUAAACAACGAUAUAUGGCACAAUUCUUAACUUCUACCACCCAAUACCAACACAUUAUUAUCGUUACAAGUCCUCAUUUUUGCUGCAUUUAAUCAUAGGUUACUGUUUAUGUUGUUAGGUAGGAGUUCGCUGACGUUUUUUCUAGCUAGCAAACGCUCCAGGUGGUCAGUGUCUGUUUGAGCUGCUGUUGUGUCAAGUGCAUGUGUUCAUAUUAAAGCCAAGGUGCUACUGACUAGCUAACUGACUGGAUGCACAUUAACAUUAGAACUCCUAUUGUGUGUGUGUGUGUGUGUGUGUGUGUGUGUGUGUGUGUGUGUGUGUGUGUGUGUGUGUGUGUGUGUGUGUGUCUGUCUGUCUGUCUGUCUGUCUGUCUGUCUGUCUGUCUGUCUGUCUGUCUGUCUGUCUGUCUGUCUGUCUGUCUGUGUGUGUGUGUGUGUGUGUGUGUCUGUGUGUGUAUGUGUGUGUGUGUGUACAGACAGACAGACAGACAGACAGACAGCCUCAUCAUGGACACCGAAAAGUUGUAAGAAAAAAUGAAAGCUGCUACCAGCCUCUCGCUUUUACAAAGUAUUUUUCAUGGUUAUUUUUUGGCUCUUUAACCCAAUAGGAAAGCUGUAUAUGACCUUUUCAUUUUGGACUGUUAACAUUCAAAUUAUGAUGGACUUGUUUCCUUGUUUAUGUGAAUUACAGCAUCAUUAGCUGCAACAUCUGCCUGUUCUGUAAAACUGGUAGCUCAACGACAGCAUCCUGAGGGCAAUUAAGUGACAAAUAUUGUGCAAGAACAGCAUGAUUACAACCCUGUCAAUUUCCACUUCUUAGAAUGUUUACUGUCAAUUAUCACACAUAAAACAAGAAAUAAUAUUCUGUACUUUUACCAGCCAGUUCUCAGCUGUAAACCAUAAACAUCACAGGGUUCUGUAUGCUACUCAGUCUAAAUCAGAAUGAGUACUACCCAAUACACAGUGAAUAAAUAUUAUCUGAAAGUCGGGUUAUUGUUGUUUAUCAGCACAAUACAAAAAGAUUCAUGUUAGACGUAUUCCAGUUAAGACUCUAGAAUAUCAUGAUUUAUGUAAAUUUAACUCAGUAAUAUGAAUAUUCAGGUUAA